This 460-nucleotide ribosomal RNA is filed under the name uncultured bacterium. Its description in RNAcentral is "partial 16S ribosomal RNA". It matches the Rfam family "Bacterial small subunit ribosomal RNA", at positions 338 to 795 of the family's 1533-position model. The record is from RNAcentral.
CCUACGGGAGGCAGCAGUGAGGAAUAUUGGUCAAUGGACGAGAGUCUGAACCAGCCAAGUAGCGUGAAGGAUGACUGCCCUAUGGGUUGUAAACUUCUUUUAUAUGGGAAUAAAAUGUUCCACGUGUGGGAUUUUGUAUGUACCAUAUGAAUAAGGAUCGGCUAACUCCGUGCCAGCAGCCGCGGUAAUACGGAGGAUCCGAGCGUUAUCCGGAUUUAUUGGGUUUAAAGGGAGCGUAGGUGGAUUGUUAAGUCAGUUGUGAAAGUUUGCGGCUCAACCGUAAAAUUGCAGUUGAAGCUGGCAGUCUUGAGUACAGUAGAGGUGGGCGGAAGUCGUGGUGUAGCGGUGAAAUGCUUAGAUAUCACGAAGAACUCCGAUUGCGAAGGCAGUUCACUGGACUGCAACUGACACUGAGGCUCGAAAGUGUGGGUAUCAAACAGGAUUAGAUACCCCAGUAGUC